UACGGAGGGUGCAAGCGUUAUCCGGAUUCACUGGGUUUAAAGGGUGCGUAGGUGGGUAGGUAAGUCAGUGGUGAAAUCCCCGAGCUUAACUUGGGAACUGCCGUUGAUACUAUCUAUCUUGAAUAUCGCGUAGGUAAGCGGAAUAUGUCAUGUAGCGGUGAAAUGCUUAGAUAUGACAUAGAACACCAAUUGCGAAGGCAGCUUACUUCACGAUUAUUGACACUGAGGCACGAAAGCGUGGGGAGCAAACAGG
This 253-nucleotide ribosomal RNA is filed under the name uncultured bacterium. RNAcentral's name for it is "partial 16S ribosomal RNA". It matches the Rfam family "Bacterial small subunit ribosomal RNA", at positions 524 to 776 of the family's 1533-position model. The record is from RNAcentral.